GCCUGAGCGUCAGUAGUCGGUCCAGGAUGCCGCCUUCGCCACCGGUGUUCCUCCAGAUAUCUACGCAUUUCACCGCUACACCUGGAAUUCCACAUCCCUCUCCCGCACUCAAGCCCUCUAGUAUCAGACGCAGUUCCCAGGUUAAGCCUGGGGAUUUCACGUCUGACUGAGAAGGCCGCCUACGCGCCCUUUACGCCCAGUAAUUCCGAAU
Molecule: ribosomal RNA, 211 nt
Filed under: uncultured soil bacterium
Lineage: Bacteria
Description: partial 16S ribosomal RNA
Source: RNAcentral